UACAGAGGUCCCAAGCGUUGUUCGGAUUCAUUGGGCGUAAAGGGUGCGUAGGCGGCGCGGUAAGUCGGGUGUGAAAUCUCGGGGCUUAACUCCGAAACUGCAUUCGAUACUGCCGUGCUUGAGGACUGGAGAGGAGACUGGAAUUUACGGUGUAGCGGUGAAAUGCGUAGAGAUCGUAAGGAAGACCAGUGGCGAAGGAGGGGCUCGGGACAGUUCCUGACACUGAGGCACGAAGGCCAGGGGAGCAAACGGG
Molecule: ribosomal RNA, 253 nt
Filed under: uncultured bacterium
Lineage: Bacteria
Description: partial 16S ribosomal RNA
Rfam family: Bacterial small subunit ribosomal RNA
Source: RNAcentral